CAAGGUGCGUGGUCUAGGACACAAGACAAGACUGGCUUGCCAUUUCCCAGGAGCCAGUACUAACCUUGGUCCACAGUCGGACGCCCGAGCAGUUGACAACCAGGAUCCAGAGCCACGCUCUGGAGCCCUGGACAGACAAGGUUCAGUUUCAAAGCCUGGAGCUAAGGAUGACAAGGAUUCAGUUGGAGCAACCACCUAUAAAGUAUAAGAUGCUCAAGGCAGCUCCAGUUGAGGGUGAGCGAUUUCCUGAACGGUAAGUCGCAAACGCAUUCACAGCCACGACGCUAAAGGUGAGGGUGAUGGAGUUAAUGAAAGCCUGGAACAACGUCCUGGAAAACGACGAGCUAAGACGGAUCGUAAACCUACCUCACCAUAGAGCAGGAUGUGGAGGUAGUGAGAAUUUAUCUUACACACACUGAUGGAAUACUUAUUUGAAUACUAACAUUGCCUAUUUUGAUUCCUUGCCAUUCUACCUCAAAACAACCGUUACAUAUAAGUGCAAUACUAAUUUACUAUGCAAACACUUAGUACUUAACUGUCGAUCAAUUAUGCAAUACAAGUCAUCAGGGUUUUUUCUUUUCUAUUGGCAUAUAUUUUGAUGAAUUUGCUGGGACUUUGACAUUGUAUAGUACUUAUGAUAUCUUCCUUUCUUUUGUAAUAAAAUUAAUGCUGCAUUCAUCUUAACAGUAUUACCUCUCGGAUCUAUGCAAUUUGUGUACAUGUUCUGUAUAUUAUUACUUAUAUUCUAUGUCACUCUUUUUUGUAAAUGGAUGAACAGAUUUUAAUAUCAUAUUUGUUGAUUAUGAAAUGUAAUACAUAAUGUUUAAUGUUCGCUUGAGGCCAUGGGUUUAUUUGCGUUUUCAGUUUGUUUGGCCAUUGCACGAAAAUCCUCUGACAAGACAUUAAUAUUUACGUGCCUCUCUACGCCCAGGUGUAGGAAAUAUUCACCUGGUACGAAGAAAUCUGAAUGUCAUAUUUUCUUAUAACGUUUGCUAGCCCGGCAAAAGGUGGGUAAUGAUAAUUUUGUACAGCGCUUAGAACUAUAAAAGGUGUAUGCAUACUGUAUUGUGAUACUGUUUUACAGCUUAUACAUUGAAGCACUAAGUAAUAUUUGUAUCAAGUGCUCUCGAAACGUUACUACACAUGUAUUAUCGAUAUUGUCAAAACCGUUUUUACAGCUGAUAAGAAAUGCCUGUACACUUCUAACUUAGAGUCAUGAAACAUUUCAUUCCCUUAUUCCAAACAUUAUUUAAUUUUCCAUUAUUUCGUAUUUUGCAUAUACCAUGAUGGUUGCAAGGUUUUAUUAGCAUUUGAUAUGGUCUUUUUUUUUGGUGCCCCUUGAACGUUUAAUUUAAAGUGUUUUUUGGCGCCUUACAAAUCAUAUAUAUACAAUUUCUUUGUGUACAGAGCCUCAUUAUUUCUUGUAUUUUUGUGUAUUUUCUCGAACUCCAAGCAGAAAUCUAGACUUUCUUCUAUAUAUGU
Strongylocentrotus purpuratus (purple sea urchin) is the source of this 1482-nucleotide long non-coding RNA. RefSeq lists it as uncharacterized. Lineage: Eukaryota; Metazoa; Echinodermata; Echinoidea; Camarodonta; Strongylocentrotidae. The transcript is spliced from 3 exons. The record is from RefSeq and is a predicted model, not a curated record.